This 130-nucleotide unclassified non-coding RNA is filed under the name uncultured Archaeorhizomycetes. RNAcentral describes it as "sequence contains ITS2". The record is from RNAcentral. Lineage: Eukaryota; Fungi; Ascomycota; Archaeorhizomycetes.
AAAUCUCUAGGCUCCAUCUGAUGGUGCCUGUCUUGGGCCUCGCCCUGUGGCGUCGUCUGAAUGUCAUCGGUCUAACCUGUGGACGAGUCCCGGUAGGGCAGACCACAGGGGGGACCCUAAGCCUCUCUGA